UAUUUUUUCCAGAGUUAAUAUUUUUUUCCUCCAAAAGAGUUGUUUUUGCUCCGUUUUGAGUAAACAAAGUAAAAUGUGUCAGUAGAGUGGGAGCAAAAUUACAGAGUAACUGUAACAGAGUAAAAUUUUUCCCUCCUAAUUUCUGUUUAUCUGCCAUUGCUGUAUAUAAUGUUAAAACAGAGUAACAAUAAAGAUUAAUGACACGCCUGCAUAUACUUCUUUUGUAAAAAAAUAAAUAAACAACUUCUCAAAAAAUAGCAUUUUAUAACUAAUCUAAAUUAAACUAAUUACAAAAAUGAACACUUAAAAGUACGUAAACAUAAUAAAUAACUAAAAGAACAGAAACCAUCUUUGGGGAUAAUAUCUGUAUAUAAGUGUACUUAGAUUUUUAAGUUUGGUUCACGUAGCAUUCGAUUACAUAGAGUUUGCGGGCUUUAUGACCUACACGGCACCCCGCCACCAGAGGGCGAUAGAAAUAUUGGCUUCACUCACUGUGACUCCCUUUGGUAACGGCCAUAUCGAUCACUGCUGGUUAAGAAGACAAGCUGCUUUCUGCUGGAUGGUGAAGUAAGUGAAUUUUCUAAAUCUUAGUAUUAAUUUCCAGAAUAUUAGCCUCUGUUUUGAUCUUAGUCAUUUUGCCACGUUUUUUAAUAUUACAGAGUUAACUUUCUCACGUGAGAACUAACUUAGUCUAUAAUUUAAAACUUACAGGUUAUAUAAACCAACAGCUUUGUCAAAGUAAAGUGAAGUUAAACUGACGAGCGUCUGGAGUUGGGCACCACAUGUACGUGACUCGGAUGCAAACCAACAAUGUUGUCAGAGUAAAGUUCAAAGACAGCAAGAAAUAUAUUUUCUCUUUACAACCAUUUCACACAUUUUUUGAAUGUGUUGCCAAGAAGUUUAAUCUUCCUACAAUGAAUGUCUUUGAUGACAUAAAGACAGAGGUUGAUGAGGAAUAAUAUCUGCUGACAUGACCAGACUUUGGUGUCCUAGAAAUCUUCAUCCCAGAAAGCACAACAAGCCUUGAUGGGCACGUCAGAGUCUGAUGGGACCGCAGUGCUGAUUAGAAAUCCUCCUGAAAAAAAUCAAGCCGAGGAAUGUCAUCUAGUCCAGAUGAUUGAAAAUAUCCUAAAGGGCAGCCCUGGAGGCGAGAAGGUCAUAAAGGAAUACGCUCAAACAAAGUCUUUCGGAUGGCCAAAGACGUGACAUGGUGAAAAUCUUGGUAGCACAUUUAACAACGGAACAUGGAACUUGCCCUUACCUAAAGUUGAAGGAAGAAUGUGCAAAGGAUAUUAUCUCCAUAUUCCCAUGCUUUGCUGACCCCAGGAGCAAGCUUAGUUAUGAGCAUUAUUACAAUGCAGAAGAUAGAAGUGGAUAUUUGGUGUGGAGAAUUAAAACUUUCCAAAAAGAAGCAUCAGAGGGACGGAUAAAACGCCCACGGCAACCACAAACAGGUGCAUGAUUUGCAGAUUGAUCAAUAUUUUGGACUUCUAUUUGGUGAGGCGACCGCUGCAAAGUUGUUGGAGAAGUGGUCUACCAACAUAAAACCUAAGGUUAUUGCACAGACCCGUGGCCUCAAACAGACUUGUAAGCAUCCAAAAUGCUGAAGCCACUGAAGUUGAAGAUGGUAACUAUUGUGCUUUACAAGUUAUGAAUUCAUGAAGAAUGGCUUUAGAUCUAUAGUUUCAAUUGUAUUCACAAUGUUACCCAUCAGACAUGCAUUAUUCGUAUGCAGCACAGAUUUAAGUAAAUAAUCAGAAUAAAAAUUACCGCUUUCUCUUAACAUUUCUACCUUGACCUUAGUGAUGUUGAAAUGAGGUCAUACAGUUAAACAUUAUUUACUACAUUUAAUCCAUGCUUUUGUUAUUUAGAGUCCCAAAUGAAAACAGUUUUAAACUGUAAAUCUUCAACUCACGUACUAGGCCCUUGUGAAAACCCAUCUGAAAGCGCUCUAUUUUUACACA
Molecule: non-coding RNA, 1964 nt
Organism: Misgurnus anguillicaudatus (oriental weatherfish)
Lineage: Eukaryota; Metazoa; Chordata; Actinopteri; Cypriniformes; Cobitidae
Source: RefSeq, a predicted model, not a curated record